RNAcentral lists this transfer RNA (104 nucleotides) under Pseudomonas cremoricolorata. RNAcentral's name for it is "tRNA-Und (NNN) (tRNA-Und-NNN-1-1)". The record is from RNAcentral. Lineage: Bacteria; Pseudomonadati; Pseudomonadota; Gammaproteobacteria; Pseudomonadales; Pseudomonadaceae.
GCGGGCGGCUCAAGUUGUUGAUUUCAAAGGGCUGGCAGGUGCCAGCUAUGAUUUAGGUUCCAGCGGCGCAAGCUGUAAGAGUUCGAGUCUCUUCGUCCGCACCA